GCAUAAUAAAUAGGUUUUUAAUUGGAAUCUGGAAUGAAAGGUUAAAACUAAGAAGAUUGUUUUAUUUAAUUACUUUGAAUUUAAAUUAAAAGUAAAAAUGCUUUUAUUAAUUUCUGGGACGAGAAGACCCUAGAAGCUUUUAGAAUUAUACAGAAUUUUUAGUUGGGGUAAUUGGUGAAGAUAUAAAUUUUUAAAUAGAAAUAAGAUAAGUGAAUUUUAAGUUACUCUAGGGAUAACAGCAUUAUUUAAUUAACAAGUUCUUAUUAAUAAUUAAGUUUGUGACCUCGAUGUUGAAUUAAUU
RNAcentral lists this ribosomal RNA (301 nucleotides) under Piassagera brieni. RNAcentral describes it as "partial large subunit ribosomal RNA". Lineage: Eukaryota; Metazoa; Arthropoda; Arachnida; Opiliones; Gonyleptidae. The record is from RNAcentral.